UAUGCAGGUAGGGAGGACCGUAGGUAAAUCCGCGGUCCAUUAAUCCUGAGAUGUGAUGCCGAGCCGAUUGUGGCGAAGUGGGUGAUCCUAUGCUGCCGAGAAAAGCCUCUAGUGAGUGUCGUGGCGGCCCGUACCCCAAACCGACUCGGGUGGUCAGGUAGAGGAUACCAAGGCGAUCGGGUGAACUGUGGUUAAGGAACUCGGCAAAUUGCCCCCGUAACUUCGGGGGAAGGGGGGCCUCCGCUGGUGAUCAGACUUGCUUUGUGAGCUGGUGGGGGUCGCAGAGGCCAGGGGGAAGCGACUGUUUACUAAAAACACAGGUCCGUGCGAAGUCGUAAGACGAUGUAUCGGACUGACGCCUGCCCGGUGCCGGAACGUUAAGGGGACCGGUUAGCGCACUUCGGUGUGCGAGGCUGAGAACUUAAGCGCCAGUAAACGGCGGUGGUAACUAUAACCAUCCUAAGGUAGCGAAAUUCCUUGUCGGGUAAGUUCCGACCUGCACGAAUGGCGUAACGACUUCCCCGCUGUCUCAACCGCAGACCCGGCGAAAUUGCACUACGAGUAAAGAUGCUCGUUACGCGCAGCAGGACGGAAAGACCCCGGGACCUUCACUACAGCUUGACAUUGGCGUUUGGAACGUCUUGUGUAGGAUAGGUGGGAGACUGUGAAGCUGUCACGCUAGUGGCGGUGGAGUCAUUGGUGAAAUACCACUCUGGUCGUUUUGAACGUCUAACUUCGGUCCGUGAUCCGGAUCAGGGACAGUGUCUGGUGGGUAGUUUAACUGGGGCGGUUGCCUCCUAAAGAGUAACGGAGGCGCCCAAAGGUUCCCUCAGCCUGGUUGGUAAUCAGGUGUCGAGUGUAAGUGCACAAGGGAGCUUGACUGUGAGACCGACGGGUCGAGCAGGAGCGAAAGCUGGGACUAGUGAUCCGGCGGUGGCAUGUGGAAGCGCCGUCGCUCAACGGCUAAAAGGUACCCCGGGGAUAACAGGCUGAUCUUCCCCAAGAGUCCAUAUCGACGGGAUGGUUUGGCACCUCGAUGUCGGCUCGUCGCAUCCUGGGGCUGGAGUAGGUCCCAAGGGUUGGGCUGUUCGCCCAUUAAAGCGGUACGCGAGCUGUGUUUAGAACGUCGCGAGACAGUUCGGUCCCUAUCCGCUGCGCGCGCAGGAGACUUGAAAGGAGCUGUCCCUAGUACGAGAGGACCGGGACGGACGAACCUCUGGUGUGCCAGUUGUUCCGCCAGGAGCAUGGCUGGUUGGCUACGUUCGGAAGGGAUAACCGCUGAAAGCAUCUAAGCGGGAAGCUCGCCUUGAGAUGAGGUCUCCCACCACGAAAGUGGGUAAGGCCCCCGGGAGACGACCGGGUUGAUAGGCCGGAGGUGGAAGCAUGGUAACGUGUGGAGCUGACCGGUACUAAUAGGCCGAGGACUUGACCAC
RNAcentral lists this ribosomal RNA (1433 nucleotides) under metagenome. Its description in RNAcentral is "bacterial LSU rRNA". It matches the Rfam family "Bacterial large subunit ribosomal RNA", at positions 1513 to 2925 of the family's 2925-position model. The record is from RNAcentral.